AUUGAACGCUGGCGGCAUGCCUUACACAUGCAAGUCGAACGGCAGCGCGGACUUCGGUCUGGCGGCGAGUGGCGAACGGGUGAGUAAUACAUCGGAACGUACCCUGUUGUGGGGGAUAACUAGUCGAAAGAUUAGCUAAUACCGCAUACGACCUGAGGGUGAAAGUGGGGGACCGCAAGGCCUCACGCAGCAGGAGCGGCCGAUGUCUGAUUAGCUAGUUGGUGGGGUAAAGGCCACCAAGGCGACGAUCAGUAGCUGGUCUGAGAGGACGAUCAGCCACACUGGGACUGAGACACGGCCGAGACUCCUACGGGAGGCAGCAGUGGGGAAUUGUGGACAAUGGGGGCAACCCUGAUCCAGCAAUGCCGCGUGUGUGAAGAAGGCCUUCGGGUUGUAAAGCACUUUUGUCCGGAAAGAAAUCGCGCUGGUUAAUACCUGGCGUGGAUGACGGUACCGGAAGAAUAAGCACCGGCUAACUACGUGCCAGCAGCCGCAGUAA
RNAcentral lists this ribosomal RNA (499 nucleotides) under uncultured bacterium. RNAcentral's name for it is "partial 16S ribosomal RNA". It matches the Rfam family "Bacterial small subunit ribosomal RNA", at positions 29 to 523 of the family's 1533-position model. The record is from RNAcentral.